This 497-nucleotide ribosomal RNA is filed under the name uncultured bacterium. Its description in RNAcentral is "partial 16S ribosomal RNA". It matches the Rfam family "Bacterial small subunit ribosomal RNA", at positions 29 to 507 of the family's 1533-position model. The record is from RNAcentral.
AUUGAACGCUGGCGGCAGGCCUAACACAUGCAAGUCGAGCGGACGGAGGAAGCUCGUGCCUGGAUUCAGCGGGGGACGGGUGGGUAAGGACUAGGAAGCUGACUUGCCGAGGGGGAUAGCGUACGGAAAGGGGAGCUAAGAUCGCAUACGUCAAGAUGGAGAAAGUGAGGGAUCUAUGGACAAAGAGCGAUCAGAUGACCCUAGUACGGGUUACCGGGCCGGAUUAGCUAGUUGGUAGGGUAACGGCUUACCAAGGCUACGAUGCGUAGCUGACCUGAGAGGAUGAUCAGCCACACUGGAACUGAGACACGGUCCAGACUCCUACGGGAGGCAGCAGUAGGGAAUAUUGCACAAUGGGCGAAAGCCUGAUCCAGCCAUGCCGCGUGUGUGAAGAAGGUCUUCGGAUCGUAAAACUCUUUUAGUUGGGAGGAACGGAAGUAAGUGAAUCUCUGCCUGUUUUGACGGUACCAACAGAGUAAGCACCGGCUAACUUCGUG